This 1018-nucleotide long non-coding RNA is filed under the name Aquilegia coerulea. RNAcentral describes it as "long non-coding RNA (ACOE_LNC001757)". The record is from RNAcentral. Lineage: Eukaryota; Viridiplantae; Streptophyta; Magnoliopsida; Ranunculales; Ranunculaceae.
UUGCUUUUUAAACAGGCAACACUCAACUUCCAUGCCAAAGUAGUCUAAGACCAAUACCAACUUCCCAGUAAGUGCUUUUUUUUUCCUGUACUACUAAGCUCAGAUUUUUCAUUAUUUCGUUAUCCAUUUUAAAUUACAAAAUCUACGUCGAAUUUUAGACUUACAUUAUCAACAUACUCUGUUUUCCUCUACUUUUAGAGGUAAUAACCUAAUUUGCAUCUUUGUCUACUCAAUGAUGGACCAAAAGGUGAUUGUAAACUUGCAACUUCCAAGUAGCUCUUACCACAUCAAUGCCAUUACCCGCGCUUUCCUUUUUAUGAAACUUGGAAUGGUUACAGUAUAAAUAAAAAAAAAUAAAAAAUCCCCACUCUUAGUGGUGUUACUGAGCGAUUCUUGCUAUCUUAAUUUUCUUUUUCAUUUGUAUGUCAUUAGGUGUUCACUAAUUGAUGAUUGAAACACAAUAUUGCAGGAACAUAUUGCAACUUGCUUUUUAAACAAGCAACACUCGACUUCCAUGCCAAAGUAGUCUAAGACCAAUACCAACUUCCCAGUAAGUGCUUUCCUUUUCCUGUACUACUAAGCUCAGAUUUUUCAUUAUUUCGUUAUCCAUUUUAAAUUACAAAAUCUAUGUCGAAUUUUAGACUUACAUUAUCAACAUACUCUGCUUCCCUCUACUUUUAGAGGUAAUAACCUAAUUUGCCUCUUUGUCUACUCAAUGAUGGACCAAAAGGUGAUUGUAAACUUGCAACUUCCAAGUAGCUCUUACCACAUCAAUGCCAUUACCUGCGCCUUCCUUUUUAUGAAACUUGGAAUGGUUACAGUAUAAAUAAAUAAAUCCCCACUCUUAGUGGCGUUACUGAGCGAUUCUUGCUAUCUUAAUUUUCUUUUUCAUUUGUAUGUCAUUAGGUGUUCACUAAUUGAUGAUUGAAACACAAUAUUGCAGGAACAUAUUGCAACUUGCUUUUUAAACAUGCAACACUCGACUUCCAUGCCAAAGUAGUCUAAGACCAAUACCAAC